RNAcentral lists this transfer RNA (602 nucleotides) under uncultured cyanobacterium. Its description in RNAcentral is "partial 16S-23S ribosomal RNA intergenic spacer". The stretch from base 271 to 343 matches the Rfam family "tRNA". The record is from RNAcentral. Lineage: Bacteria; Bacillati; Cyanobacteriota.
CAGGGAGACAACACAAUGAUUUUGAUGCCUGAGUGCUUUUAUUCUUAGGCCGAAAUCCUGUCACCUUGGGUCGAUCGGUACCUCAGCUUUGAAGUCAAGGAUCAGCAGCAAUGUUGAUUGCUUGAUGGAGAUUUUCAGUUCCUAAACUUUGUCUAGGUCACACCCCAAAAGGGAUGAGACUCCUGGGCCAUUAGCUCAGGUGGUUAGAGCGCACCCCUGAUAAGGGUGAGGUCCCUGGUUCAAGUCCGGGAUGGCCCAUAUCUCUAUGUUGGGGGUAUAGCUCAGUUGGUAGAGCGCCUGCUUUGCAAGCAGGAUGUCAGCGGUUCGAGUCCGCUUACCUCCACUGAUUACCACCUCUUCCAUAAUCUGUUGAAGGGAAAAUUUUUUGAGUUGUGAUCAUUAUCCUGAACGAAUCUAGCUUCCUAAUGAAACCAUUAAGAUGCUGGACUCAUUGAAUUAUUUUUCAUUGUUUUCAGAGAACCUUGACAACUGCAUAGAUUAUUUUUAAAGACAAUAAGCAUCUCUAAUGAUGCAGAUUUAUUAUUUUUGCAAAUGCAUUAAUAACAAUUCUAUUAAGCUGAUGCUUCAAUUUUGAAGUUAUU